RNAcentral lists this transfer RNA (70 nucleotides) under Erragonalia choui. Its description in RNAcentral is "tRNA-Pro". The record is from RNAcentral. Lineage: Eukaryota; Metazoa; Arthropoda; Insecta; Hemiptera; Cicadellidae.
CAGUAUAUAGUUUAAUAAAUUAAAACUUAGGUUUUGGAUAUCUAAAAAAUGUAAAUUUACAUUAUUCUGA